UGGGAUUGAAGGGUUAACUAGAAUACUAUAGUUUGUUGUGCUAUCCAUAAGACUAUAAGUGAUCUAGAGGCAAGAAAAAAAAUAUUGAAAAUUGUAUGAAGUACAAUUGAUAAAAAGUUACCUACUCUUGAACUCAUGAAUACUUGUUAUGCUAUCCACAAGAUAUUUGUGAGGAAUAGGGAUCUCAACUCCACUUAGAAACAUAAUAAUAUUUCUCAUUUUUUAUACUUGAAGAUCAUAAAAUUUAUUAAAAUAGUGAGAGACACAAUUAGACAAAAGUUCUAAUCUAGUUGUGCAUAUCAUCAUGAGUUGUUCGCUUAUAUUAUAUUCUUGUUAUUGUAGAUUAACUACAUAAAUGGCAUCCUCACUAUCACUUCGAGGCAUACUAGAUGUUAAAAAAUUGAUCAAACCAAAUUAUGUGGAUUGAUUAAGAAAUCUGAGAAUAAUUCUUACACAGAAGAAAGUCUCCUAUAUAUUGGAAUCAUCUACAUUCAAUACGAUCAAGAAAGAUGCAUCUGAGGAGGAAAGGACCAUAUAUAAGAUAUGGAAAGA
This 552-nucleotide long non-coding RNA is filed under the name Elaeis guineensis (African oil palm). RNAcentral describes it as "long non-coding RNA (EGUI_LNC062387)". The record is from RNAcentral. Lineage: Eukaryota; Viridiplantae; Streptophyta; Magnoliopsida; Arecales; Arecaceae.